ACUCAAUCGGUAGAGUACAAAGCUCCUAACCUUAUGGACGUGGGUUCAAGCCCCAU
Non-coding RNA from Triticum aestivum (bread wheat), 56 nucleotides. NCBI's taxonomy places the organism in Eukaryota, Viridiplantae, Streptophyta, Magnoliopsida, Poales, Poaceae. The record is from Rfam.